RNAcentral lists this unclassified non-coding RNA (203 nucleotides) under uncultured Trichoderma. Its description in RNAcentral is "sequence contains ITS1". The record is from RNAcentral. Lineage: Eukaryota; Fungi; Ascomycota; Sordariomycetes; Hypocreales; Hypocreaceae.
CCGAGUUUACAACUCCCAAACCCAAUGUGAACGUUACCAAACUGUUGCCUCGGCGGGAUCUCUGCCCCGGGCGCGUCGCAGCCCCGGACCAAGGCGCCCGCCGGAGGACCAACCCAAAACUCUUAUUGUAUACCCCCUCGCGGGUUUUUUUUAUAAUCUGAGCCUUCUCGGCGCCCCUUCGUGGGCGUUUCGAAAAUGAAUCA